RNAcentral lists this long non-coding RNA (6061 nucleotides) under Podarcis lilfordi (Lilford's wall lizard). The record is from RNAcentral. Lineage: Eukaryota; Metazoa; Chordata; Lepidosauria; Squamata; Lacertidae.
UAGUGCAGCUAUAGAGUGAAGACCCAUCAAUCAGGCUGUGAAUGAGAAAUGAAAAGAGGUUUUUCCAGAUGUCCACUACUGAAUACUAAAAGUAAAUCUGUUUUAGUAUUAGUGCAGGAAGGAGGGGAACAGAUAUAGUUAUCCUGCCACGCUCAGUGGCAUGGUACUCCUGGGAUCAGAGAGAGAUAUGUAUUGCUUUGUUCCUUUAAUGAAAAAUUCAAGUAAUAAAACUACCCCCCCACCACUUACUGUUCUUGGGGUGGGGAAAAAUCCUAGAGUUAAAGGCAUUAACUGUAUUUCAAAUUUCACAUUAUUAUUAUUACACAUUAGCAAUUAUUUCAAAUGAUCAUUGUAUACAUAAAGUGCUGAAAUGAUGUAUUUAGUGUUUCCUCUGUAAGUGUAAUUAAGGUUUUAUGCGCGUGAUGAUAUCAAUGCUGAACUAUAAAUUUUAUUUCAUGCUUUUACAGAUGGAGGAGUCCAUUGUCCUUGGGGUACAUGUGUAAUUGUCAUUAAUUCCAACAACAGGAGUAUAAAUCUCCCUCAUUUCUUCUGUGUGCAUAGAUUAGAAAGUAUCUCUCGCAAUAUGGAAUUCCAGAACUACACUUUGCUGGGAAGCCCUGUAUAAAGAUUAGGUAGAGAUGUUGUCUGACUUUUUAACCAUCUUGGUGAAAUCUAUUAGAGGUUCCAGAAUGAUUUCUUAUGUCAGAGGGAAUGCAGUUAUUCAAAAUGGCUGCUUUAUCUGACCUAAAAGACUGUUGACAAAUGGGCCUAAUACUGACAUUGUGAAAUUGUGCCUCCAGUAAUAUCAACUUUGGGACUACUUAGUGUGAAUGUAUUUUUCCAAUGUUCUGAACCUAACUGAUGGCAACGUUUGGGGUUCACAAAGGUUUUAUAUCUAGGGGAGGAAAAGAGUUCAGUUAUAUUGCCUUCCUGUGCAGCUUGUUGGGAUGGUUCACUAACUUGAGCCAUGUGGCACUCUAAGCUCUGAUUUCACUUCUCUAGUUAUCGUGAGAUGCGUUGACGUUUCCAUUUUGUGCAGCUUGACUUCUGGCUGCCCAGUGAAUGCUUACUUUUACCAUCUGAGAGAGAGUUGGACCAGAGAGUCAGGGCGGACUAGUGGUUAGAACAUUGCACUUCAGCUUGAGAGAACUGGGUUCAAAUCCCCAUUUAUUUAUUUAUAUAUUUAAACAUGUAUGGAUUUCUGGUGCCUGCACACCACUCAGGGUGACUAACAACAAUUAACCAAUAUUGAAACACCAUAAAAGGAAGGGGCUAACCACACCUCAUUGGCUGCAGAAUGUCCUUUUUCUAGUCUUCCUCAGCCAAGCUUCCAACAUAACUGGGGCAUAGAGAUGAGGGUGCCCCUAACUGAUCCUUGACCUAAGCUAUCUAAGGUGUUAAAUGCCAUCUCCAACAUUUUGUAUUGUGUCUGGAAACUUAACUAGUGCAGCUCUUGCAGGGCAGGUACAGCCUUGGCCACUCACAAAAUUUCAGAGUACCCUAUCUCACAGGGUGGAUAAGAUAAUAUCCACCUAUAAGUACAGCAUUUUGAUGUCUUAGUAGAAGGAUGGAAUGAAUGAAUGAAUAGCUCCCUGCCAACUCUAUGGCCAUCUUGUGUUGUUUAAUCCCUUCCACUAGGGGGCAGUAGCAUGCAGCAUACUUUUCAGGUCCAAAGUUGGUUGCAUAUUACAAUUAGUACUAACGUUCUGCCUCAGAGUUUACUUGUGCAGAAAUAUCCGCUAUCAUGAGCAAUCUAGAAGUGUAACAUUGUAGAAUUACUCAUGGAAAAUUGAGUGGUUAUUCAGACACACGCAUGUGCGCACGCGCGCACACACACACAAUGUUUAUUGACCCUGCCUUGCACGCGGAAGUAAAUACUGCAAUUUACAGUGAUUCAUACAGUGGUACCUCUGGUUAUGAACUUAAUUCGUUCCGGAGGUCCGUUCUUAAGUUGAAACGGUUCUUAUCCUGAAGCGCGCUUUCGCUAAUGUCGCCUCCCACUGUGCGUGCACGCCUCUGGCGUGGAGCUUCCGCUCACAUCCCAGAGCAAAGUUCACAACCGGGAGCAACUAGCGUAGCUCGUAACCCAAAGUGUGCGUAACCAGAAGCGUUCGUAACCAGAGGUACCACUGUACAUUGGUAACCUCAAGGCUGGAGUGCUACAAUGCACUCUGUAUGGGCCUGCCUUGGAGGCUGGCCUGGAAGCUACAGGUGGUACAAAACAAGGUAGCACAGUUGUUGUGUGGGGUAGCCUGCCAGGAACACUUCCCACCUGUACUGAGAUGACUUCACUAUCUGCCUGUUGGCUGCUGAGCCAGAUAUGAGGUUCUUGUAUUGACAUAGAAAGCUCUCAGCAGCUUAGGGCCUAGCUGCUUGGCAGAGUGCCUGCUCCCUUAUAGAGCUGCCUAUUAUUUUAUAUCUUUUGGCGGUGCCACAUCUUCCCGUGGCAAUGUGGGAGAGAGCUUUCUCAGCUAAAGUGCUGCAAGUUUAGAAUUUCCUCCCCUCUCAAAUAAGAAUGGCACUGACUAUCAUGUGUAUUGGCUGCCAGUUUAAAAACUACCUAUUUGUCCAGGUGUUUGGAUGUGUUGUUGUUGCUUCUAAUGAAAUUUGACAACUUUUAUUGCUGUUUACUUUUUUAUAGUGUGUGUGUGUGUGUGUGUGUGUGUGUGUGUGUGUGUGUGUGUGUUAAAUGCUUUAACAUUGCAACCUGCUAUUGGAUGCCUUUUUGGUUAUGAAGAACAGGCUAUGCAUAUUUUAAAGAAAAGUAUUUUUUCAAAGGCCCAUUUUCCCGCAGUAGUAUCUGGGAUUGGUAAAGAGACUAAAUUUGUGCAAUUGACCUGAGAGAUGCAAUAAUAAGCUUUCAAAUAUUAUGCCCGCAGGGCUUUUGGGAGAGCCUUUCUAUAUCAAAUGCGAAGGCAAACAUGCUGAUGCAAUUCUAUUAAAUGCACAGUGUUCUUCAUACUUCCCAUCCAGCAAUUUUUAGUCAGAGCAGUGCUCCCACAAGGCAAGCAUGACUAUUGCUAAUUUGCACAUAAACAGAGGUACAGAUUAUUCCCAUAUGCAAGCACACUCACCUGAAUGAAAAUCAUAAUGCACAAAGCAUCCCCAAGGGAUCCUUGAGAAAUGUGGAUGCAAAUUGUUUGCAGUGUCCUCACAGGUACUAUAUUGAGCCUAGCAACUUCCACAUACGUUCUUAAGGAGUAAAUCCUGUUGAUUAUAAUGACUCUCAUUCCCAAGCAAGUGUGUACAACAUGUCUGAAAGCGCACCUGCACAGUGCUUAACAGUGUGCAGGUAGUCGCAGAUGUUGCAUGUCUUGACUCCUUUUGCACUAGAGGCUCCAGCCUGCACUAGCCCCCUGUCAGGAUCAGUGCAGAUUGCAUAGCCUGUACAGCUGCUUUUCUGUAGCUCAUUCACCCAGGUGCAAUGGCUGUUGCCUUAUUGGCAUGAUAUAUUCCAUCCAAAGCAUGCAAAAAGCUGUCAAAACCCUGAAAUGAAUUGGGCCUGGUGUCAGGAAACAACCCUGAUACUUUAUACCACUUUCUGUUGAAUGGUCACUUUAAAAUGUGAAGGUUCAUUAUUGUUUCACAAGUUGUGUAUGUCUUUAAGGGCCAGGGCAAAUAACGAGACCCAGUCUUACAGCUGUGAAACAUAGCAGGUGCUGCUGAGUUGUGUUAAUCAAGCUGUGUCAGCAAUUGGGUAUAGUAUAUAAGGGGCAGCACCUAGCUCUCUCACCACCCUGGGGGAUGGGUUGGUGUUUGGGUCAUGUUUGUUGUUGUUAUCUUUAGUGCAAAAGGAGUUUUUGUUUUGUUAUUAAAACCAUGUUAAAGUUAUUUUUGAGUUCCUUGUGAUGCAUGAUCUCCCCAGCAAGCUCUCUGCAGCACUACUAAACUGCAAAUAGCCAACACUUUCCACCCCAAAAAAGUUUCAACUGUUCAUUAAGGUAGCAACCCUGCAUCAUGUGCCCCUUGUGCAAGUCUCACUGACUCCAGGGGGAUUUAUGCAGAUGUGACUUGUCACACUGGUAGUCUUGAGGGGUCUGCUUCAUUGUGUGUUAAUAGCAACAGGAGUCUGUCAGGAGUUUUCAAUAGGCCCUGGAUCUGGCCCUGAGCUACCAGCCAAAAGUGCAGUCAUCCUUUCAGAUAUUUCAUUUUCCUAAUGUGCUGUGAAAUAUGCGGAACCAGGGACUGUGUGGGCCGAGCAUUUUCACAUCCUGCAGCCUUAAUGUAAACAGCAUGUGGCAGAUGGAGGGUUGAGUGUGGAAACUAAUGUAGAGCUAUUUCACCUAAUACAGGCCCACUUUCCCCCCUUCAGUCUGGAAGAGAAACAUGAGAUGCUGAUGUCCAUCUCUCCCCAGGCUAAGUGCAAUUUCUAUUCAGUUUUAACACCCCACUCCUUUCUCCUGCUUUGCUAAAUGAUAUACCAGAAGGUAAAUUUUAUCAUGUAAAUUUUCAACAGUUAUACAGAGACAACUAAAUCAUGGGCAGAUGUGAUUUUUUUUGCAGAAGCUGUCGGUUUCAGAAAAUUGUUCCAAAAAUGGAAAGGGAAGUUGAUUGUAGGCCAGGCCAGAGUUCAACGUAAGGCAUGAAUACACUAUUAGGCUGAAAUCCUACACAUAAUUGCCUGGAACGAAGUCUCAUUAAACUCAAUGGGGCUUACUUCCAAGUAGACAUGCAUGGGAUUACGCUGUGCCAGAGUUGAGCAUGGCUGUGGCGAGGAAGGAAUGCAUGGCCAUAGCAGUCAUCUGUGGCGUGUAAAUCCUAGCUUAGGAAGCCAUGGGAAAAGGUUUAAAUUUAGCCUAUGUAUUCUAGUUUCUAGUGCUACGAGUUUCAUGUGCAGAGCUAGGAAGACAGGAACAGCUGUGCAGUCUCAGCGCAUGGGUGAGAUGAGGCUUCUGAAUUUGUUAUAAACCGGGGGAUAUUUUGAGACAUGCUGGAUUUGUACAAACAGGGGGUGGGUUCCACUUGAACCAGUAUAUAGCACCAGACUGUUGUCACUUAAAAUCUGAAAGCUGGCAGAGCAGCUGUAAAACUGAUUGUCAGGGGAAUUAGACAAAUUUGUGAAUAAGGCAAAUCCAUGGAGGAUGAGCUUCUCAGUGUCUGUUAUGAUGGUUAUGUUUUCCUUCCACAUUAUGCCUGGGAAUCGCAGGUGAGGAGAGCGCUGUUGCGCUCAGAUCCUGCCUGAGGAUCUUCCCUUGGGCAUCUGGUUGGCCAUUGUGAGAACAGGAUACCAGACUAGAUGGGCCACUGGCCUGUUCAAGCAGGGCUCUUCUUAUGUUCUUAAAUCAUGCAGUGGGGGGGGGGGGGCCUCACACAGCAAUUUAUUUUUAUGAAAUAAAAAUCCUGCUUCUUUUUGAAGCUACACAGUAAGAGGUGGAAAACACCUGACGGGAUGCACAAAUGGGGCACCUUAAGAUUUGAGAUGAGGUCAGGGGCUGUAGGUUCGUCUCCUGCUUACAACAGUACAGGUGCACAUCUGUUGGCCUCUGUGCAUCACUGACGUGAAUGGAGAAUGUUUUGUGAACAAAGCAGCUCCAGAUGUGCAUUGAAGGCCCAGCACCUGCCAGACCUGAAGUCUAAAUGCAAGAGUGGGUGUUUUGAUUGCAAGGAAAUAUAUCUUUUUGUGAAAGAGCUUUUCUUCCCAAACCAGCUGUUCCCAAUCUUGUAACUUUCUCAGUUCAUGUGUAGCCAUUUGACUUAUUUUCAUUUGCAAAUGGUGGCAGGCUAAGGUUUAGGCAUCAUGUGAGCAGCAGCGGUGGGGAAAGCUCAGGCCCAGGUGCCAAAUGCAGCCUUCUCUAUGCAGACUUCAGCACUCUGCCUAGACCAAGGCUGGAUCUACACUGAUCUGUAAAAACGCUAUUGAAAAUAAUGUUAACCAUCAUUAUAUAUUGCUCAAUGCAUUUUUUCAUUGCCAGUGACUUGCAGCUCUGCAACGCCCUCUGGUGUCACAUUUUUUAAAAUUCUUUAUUGAUUAAAAAUUUACAUAUCUAUACAAACAUUAUAUGCUAUCUCUUUACAUAUGAAGAAAAAGAAAAUUAUGUAGAGAAUAGAAAAUUUCUAAAGG